RNAcentral lists this long non-coding RNA (2880 nucleotides) under Musa acuminata (dwarf banana). RNAcentral's name for it is "long non-coding RNA (MACU_LNC010835)". The record is from RNAcentral. Lineage: Eukaryota; Viridiplantae; Streptophyta; Magnoliopsida; Zingiberales; Musaceae.
CGUUGAGUUAGCUACUGUGAUUCACCUUCUCAAUAGCCAUUGAACUUCUGGAAUGCAGGAAGUUUUCACCCCAACUUGGAGUAAUUCUCUGAUAGAUGAGGUCGCCUCUGGGAUUGUACCGUCUUCUCCAUCAACCCUGCCGCCUACUCCACUGAGUAGCGAAGGUACAGCACCGCGUACUGCCUGCUUCGUUCCUUGGUCGUGCACUCUUGCAUGACCCGAAGUUCUUCACUUACGGCUAUCUUGAUGAGAAACUUGUUGACACCGGUCUUACGAAGUUUCUUGGCCUCUGCCCUUCAGCCUUGUCUCAGUACUUGGAGAUUGCCUCUGCAUGCUCCACCUCCUCGGCCCCUUUCAUGACCAAACGCUCUCCCUCCGUGAGAGCAAGGGAUCUGUGACUUUCACGGAAGUCCCGCCUCUGCGGUACCAUGGCGCUGCCAUGCCCAUGGCACUACUAUCCGUCGCCUCGCCUCUGUAUCCCCUUUCUUCACAAUCAGUAGAUAUGUCUCUGUGGCACUCCUUUGAGUCCACCUCCAUUCUAACUGAUGCUUGAUUUUGGGUAGCUAAGUCCCUCUGGACUCGUCGUCACUUCCUCGCCCCUUUCGAUCCCUGCUUUAACACCUCCGUGUUCUCCAAGCAGUCUGUUUGGUCGAUGGAAAGACAGACUGCAACUCCCAUGCAUGGCCUCUGCCAUCGCGUUGUAGGGUUUGCACCAAUUCUGUUCUCCUUAGCUUCCUUGGUAGCAACGUUCGCUUACUCGACCUUGUCCUCUGACUUGUCGGGCUCCCAUAAGCGAAUAUGAGCUCUGGAGCAGUCCAACUCUCCAGCUGCUUCGAUCAUACCUCUGCAUGAUCAAGUCCCUCCCAUGGAACUCACUAGUACUUGCAUUCGAACUUUUCCCUUGGUGGAACCCAGCCCCCAUAUGCUGAUGACCAAGGUUUUCAUCCGAUGUAAAAUUCGGUGCACGCCCGGAAGACCCGCCUCUGCGGUACCAUGGCCUUCACUCCUUGAAUCCAUAGCCCUUCUUGCCGUCAUGUUGUUCACCAAAGCGGAGCUCCCAGUAGCUCCCGAUCAUACCUCCAUAUGAUCUCAUCCCUCACGGGACUAUGUCGUGUGUGUCGCAUUGCCACGAACUGUUCCACCACGAUCCGCUACACCAUGUCGCCUCCUGGUGACAUCUCCAUUGCAUUCUGAUCCUUGUGGAAUAAACUCAAAUUGUGAACCCUCCAUGUGUGGCCUCUGCCAAUACAUCGCAGGGUCUCCUCCACCUUCGAUUUUGUUCGCUCCUUUGGAAAUCGACCUUCAUCCACCCACUCUUGGGUCACACCUAGAUGAAGCACCGCUCUAGGACAGUCCGUCGCCUAGUAGCUCCCGAAGUCCAUCGACUUCACUGUAAUUUGUGCACCAUUGUCUGGAUCCUGGGCCUCUACCCCUACCAGCACAAUCUCUGCUGCGCACUGCUUCCUUCAUGGCAACUUGAAUGGCAACACUGUGGCAUAUUCUUCAAGAGUACCCGCCUCUGCGUCCUCUUGCCCCGUGCUAAGGUCUUCUGAACUCAACUUCGCCUCUGCAAAUUGAGUCGCCUUAGUUCCUCCAUCAAAUGCACCUCCGAGAUAAGGUGCAUGUGCCCAGAAGCUCCCUUCGUUUUUGGCACCAUGCAAGAUGAGUCCACUCUGACAGAAAGAAGGACCCAUGGAACAACAUGAUCCUACUCUUGCCUCUACAAGAGUUCAUGUCCUUGACCUCUGUCUAAGAAAAGCACUGUGCCUCUGCUCCAUGUUCCAACUUCUAUGCUGGCUCCCUUCAUGCGGCUUGGGAAUUUCGCCAAGUUACACCCAAGUUGCUCCGCUCUUCGUUUUCGCAAUGAGUCGAUGGUGGCCCUCGCUCCCACCAUUCCAUGGGUCAGCCCUCCCUUGAGUCCGAUCUCCACAUCGACUCCAAGUGUGCCUUCAUUUGUGUUGCUCCCCCACUUGAUCUCGCAAUGCAUCCACCAAUGCAUUCUCUCAAGCGAGAUCAUGCGGCGACUCCUCGCCGCUUGCUCAGUCCAUCGAGCUUCGUGGAGUUGUUGUUUAUUGAGGUACUCCUCCUCAACAUGUGAAGUCCGUCUCACAUGAUUCUCCCUCUAGAGAGCUGAGACUUAUCCCUCCUGGAUAACUGUCCCAUUGGAGCAACAUCUCUCUUCGUUUCGGAGACCACCAUCCCCUUGGACUACUCCGAUCUGCUGAGCAAACUGUGCAUUGUUCUGCCUCCUGCAAACGCACUUGCUAGAUUGCGACUCCCCGUCAAUACAGCCCCCGCUGCACCCCUCAAGGCCUAGCAACAUGCUGAACUCAUUGCGCACUUCAGCCUCCUACGGACGUAUCCUUCACAUGCCGAAGAGAAAGUUUCAAUGCUCCAUGGCGCCGAGUCUCGGUCGCCUUGGGAUGGCCAUGAACAUUCCAUCGUCCGCAUACAAGCCCAUGCAUGAGUACCAAAUUCUUCGAGUUAGCAAUUCCCCUCACCUCUGUGAGCUUUGCAUAACUCUUUUGGUCGUUGAGCAACUCUUUCCGCCUUACAUGGUCUCAUUGUUGCCAAGCGCCUCACUUGCCUAGAGCACCAUCAAGUAUAGUUGUCAACGUUGAGCCGUAGCUCAAACUCAGCCAUCCCAACCUUUGUGCGCUCCAGAUUCUUCCAAGCUUGCCUGUUCUCGUGGUGCCUCUUGCGCGAAGGGUUGGCCAUUCCUCUGAAUGCAAAUCUCAGAUGCCCGCUCCUCUGAGCGACUCUUUUCCCUACAUCUCCAUGCCCGUUUUCCCUCAAACGGUCGCGCGUGUGCUGACUGCCCUCAACGCAGCCCUGCUAGGUCCCCCACGUUUGCAUGUCAAGUGUUUCUAUGGGUGCUUG